UUUUGUCACAUAAUAAAUUUAACAUAUCGACUUUGAGGCAUGCUCAAGUAACUAUGAGGCCAAGAACUGAUUCACAAAAUAAGACAUUUUUAAGAAAGUUUUACGGCAUCAUGAUAACUAAAUCAACAAGUUACAAAACAUCCAUGUUUACAAUUCAGAAUGUGUAGAACUACAACAGCAUGCACCACUAAGUAAUAGCUUUCAGUUUGCAAAAAGGGAGAUAAGCAUUCACUCAUCAUAACCUCACAAGGUAGCUAUGAAUUAAUAACAAAGUUUUCAAAUAUUUUCAGUUAGUGAUACUGAACUCCAAACAGAGAACAAAGCUCUUGGCGACCUUCUUUUGCUACCCUUGAUUUCCUUCUUGCCAAUUCAUAUUUGAAUAUUCCUAUAAAGGUAAUAAUUUGUGAGUUUUCAGUUUGUGAACCAUGCAUGGAAACAACCAUGAAAGUACCAGCUAUGCAUCAUGUCAUACAGUUCAGUGGCAAAAAUCCAAGGCCAUAGUCACAAGCUCAAGGAACUCCCCUUCAGAAUUGCAUUGAAGCACUUGCUCAAGGGAAGAGGUCAUCGAGGACUCUUCUUCUAUAACUUCCCUGAACCAUGCCUGUCCAAUUUGAUAAACUAAAGUUCCAAUUCAUGUAGUCGGACAGUGUGGAUGGU
This 657-nucleotide long non-coding RNA is filed under the name Sorghum bicolor (sorghum). Its description in RNAcentral is "long non-coding RNA (SBIC_LNC001374)". Lineage: Eukaryota; Viridiplantae; Streptophyta; Magnoliopsida; Poales; Poaceae. The record is from RNAcentral.